Molecule: non-coding RNA, 205 nt
Filed under: unclassified sequences
Description: raiA RNA
Rfam family: raiA RNA
Source: Rfam by way of RNAcentral
UUUUUCCGGGUCUGUGGUUGAAAGUCGAUGCCAGCCGCAGGCGAAACGACCCACGUAAACCGGCAAAAAUACCGGUGAGCAUGGUGCGGUUUAGAGGUAAGUCCUGCCCGGGGUUAAACCGGAGACGGGGAGUAGUGAAGGCUUAAACCGUAGCGAGACCCGCAGCAGGCGAGUGUGGGGGAAAAGACCAGGUCAGCCGGAUAAC